UCGAGGAUCUUCGGCAAUGGGCGCAAGCCUGACCGAGCGACGCCGCGUGUGCGAUGAAGGCCUUCGGGUUGUAAAGCACUGUCGAGGGGAAGAAAGCCGCAAGGUUGAUCGACCCCUGGAGGAAGCACGGGCUAAGUUCGUGCCAGCAGCCGCGGUAAGACGAACCGUGCGAACGUUGUUCGGAUUCACUGGGCUUAAAGGGCGCGUAGGCGGGCCAUCAAGUCCGGGGUGAAAUCUUUCAGCUUAACUGGAAACGUGCCUCGGAUACUGACGGCCUCGAGGGAGGUAGGGGCACGUGGAACUUCCGGUGGAGCGGUGAAAUGCGUAGAUAUCGGAAGGAACGCCGGUGGCGAAAGCGACGUGCUGGACCUCUUCUGACGCUGAGGCGCGAAAGCCAGGGGAGCGAACGGGAUUAGAUACCCCUGUAGUCC
Molecule: ribosomal RNA, 431 nt
Filed under: uncultured bacterium
Lineage: Bacteria
Description: bacterial SSU rRNA
Rfam family: Bacterial small subunit ribosomal RNA
Source: RNAcentral